Long non-coding RNA from Centrocercus urophasianus (Greater sage-grouse), 480 nucleotides. RefSeq lists it as uncharacterized. The record is from RefSeq and is a predicted model, not a curated record. NCBI's taxonomy places the organism in Eukaryota, Metazoa, Chordata, Aves, Galliformes, Phasianidae. The transcript is spliced from 3 exons.
UGACUCAGCCCUGUCUCCUGACAGACGAUGCUCGUGCAGUUCUGGAGCUGUGUGGGUACUAUCAAUCUGCAGGUCCUCAUGAAAGGCUUUUCUGGAUACUAAAAACUUCACAGUACAACACAAGGCACACUUUCACUGUGUGGAUGAAUCAUAGAAUCACCAAGGUUGGAGAAGACCGCCAAGAUGAUCUAGUCCAGCUGUUCAUCUACUACCAAAAUUUCCCCACUAAACAUGUCCCAGAGCAUAACAUCUAAACAUUUAUUGAAGCUUCUCAUAUUCAAAUGGUGACCCCCUCAUCUUGUAGCUUCUUGGACAGUGUGUCAAGAAUUGAAAAUGCCUUUCUUGAAACAGCACAUAAAACAGUAUGCAAGAAAGAUAGAAGAGAGGAUAAGGUCUUCAGAGAGGAGAGAACUGGCUUGAAAUGGGAGCUGGGGAGGACUGCAGCUUUGCUGGUUUUCAAAGAUGUUUUUGGAGAGCUGG